Molecule: ribosomal RNA, 476 nt
Filed under: uncultured bacterium
Lineage: Bacteria
Description: SSU rRNA
Rfam family: Bacterial small subunit ribosomal RNA
Source: RNAcentral
AGAAUGAACGCUGGCGGCAUGCCUAACACAUGCAAGUCGAACGAAUUACCUUCGGGUAGUUAGUGGCGCACGGGUGCGUAACGCGUGGGAAUCUGCCCUUGGGUUCGGAAUAACAGUGAGAAAUUACUGCUAAUACCGGAUAAUGUCGCAAGACCAAAGAUUUAUUGCCCAAGGAUGAGCCCGCGUAAGAUUAGCUAGUUGGUGGGGUAAAGGCCUACCAAGGCGACGAUCUUUAGCUGGUCUGAGAGGAUGAUCAGCCACACUGGGACUGAGACACGGCCCAGACUCCUACGGGAGGCAGCAGUGGGGAAUCUUGCGCAAUGCGCGAAAGCGUGACGCAGCAACGCCGCGUGGGGGAAGACGGCCUUCGGGUUGUAAACCCCGUUUCAGUUGGGACGAAGCUUCGGCGGUGAAUAGCCGUCUGGAGUGACGGUACCUUCAGAAGAAGCCCCGGCUAACUACGUGCCAGCAGCCGC